RNAcentral lists this ribosomal RNA (480 nucleotides) under uncultured bacterium. Its description in RNAcentral is "bacterial SSU rRNA". It matches the Rfam family "Bacterial small subunit ribosomal RNA", at positions 21 to 518 of the family's 1533-position model. The record is from RNAcentral.
GGCUCAGGACGAACGCUGGCGGCGUGCCUAACACAUGCAAGUCGAGCGAGGAGAUCCUUCGGGAUGAUCCUAGCGGCGGACGGGUGAGUAACACGUGGGCAACCUGCCUCAUAGAGAGGAAUAGCCUUCCGAAAGGGAGAUUAAUACCUCAUAACAUUGCAGUUUCGCAUGGAACAGCAAUUAAAGGAGCAAUCCGCUAUGAGAUGGGCCCGCGGCGCAUUAGCUAGUUGGUGAGGUAACGGCUCACCAAGGCGACGAUGCGUAGCCGACCUGGGAGGGCGAUCGGCCACAUUGGGACUGAGACACGGCCCAGACUCCUACGGGAGGCAGCAGUGGGGAAUAUUGCACAAUGGGGGAAACCCUGAUGCCAGCAACGCCGCGUGAGUGAUGACGGCCUUCGGGUUGUAAAGCUCUGUCUUCAGGGACGAUAAUGACGGUACCUGAGGAGGAAGCCACGGCUAACUACGUGCCAGCCGCGGC